CCCUCGGUGUGGCGCAUUGCAAGACUUGACUCGCAGCUUCUAGUUGGGACUCUAUCUACAUGGGGUUAAAGACGAAGCAUGGAUCAAAUUCAAGAAAAAACAAGCAAGGAGGUCGAUAUUUAUCGUGACACAUGGGUCCGCUUCUUAGGCUAUGCCAACGAGGUGGGAGAGGCCUUCCGUGCCCUGGUGCCAGUGAGUGCUGUAUGGGCCACAUAUGCAGUUGCCACCGUGUAUGUUUCCGCUGAUGCUGUGGACAAGGGGAAGAAGGCUGCCGUGGAGCAUGGUGACAACCCAGGGAAGACAACCAAGGUGGCUGUAGCAGUGGUGGAUACGUUUGUAUGGCAGGCCCUGGCCUCGGUCGCUAUCCCAGGCUUCACCAUCAACCGUGUGUGUGCCGCCUCUCUUUACCUCCUGGGCAGAACCACGCGCCUGCCUCUCUCCGUACGCAAGUGGACCACCACGGCCAUCGGCCUCUCCACCAUCCCCUUCAUCAUCCACCCCAUCGACAGGGGAGUGGACUUCCUGCUGGACUCCAGCCUGCGUAAGGUCUACGGUCAAUCUGCAGGAGAGAGGCAUGACUAAUAAGCACCACGACCACCCUGCAACCUGGUCCUAGUGUCCCUGGCCCGGACAGGUUAGCUCCACCAGGAAAUUGACCCCACCCACCCUCUGUCCCAGACAGCACUUCCUCCCAAGCCAUCUGAAAACUCUGCUGAUCACUCUACUGUAACAUCACUGUGAAGCACAAAGCCAAUACAGCAGGGUUACUCCACUCCAGUUCUCCAGGGCCACUGUACUGUCUGCCACUUGUCUAUGCCCCUCUGUUUAUUCCCAUCUUUUCAUUUUAAACUCCAAGUUAGGGGGACCUAUGUUUCUUUGGCCAGUCAAUGACUUAGAAUCAGGGAGAAAAGGGAUCCAAUAGACAGUGUUGCCCUCCAGCACUGGAGUUGAAUACCUGUGGCUGCUACUGGCCUGCAGAGCCCACCUGUUCAUUUUCAGACCUCCACUUGGCAUGUAUCCAGGUAACUCUUGAUGUUAGCCAUAUUUGGGAAUAUUCGGGUCACUGUCCUUAGACCUGGCAUUAAGGCCCUAUUUUCAUUACAUGUUAACAUCUACCUUUGUUUUUGUUUAUUUCUGCCUCAAAAAUAAUGUCUUGUACGGUUGUCUGUCACUUUGAAUAGAUAUUUACAGAGUAUAUUGUGAUGCACUUCAAUGUUCAGUCUUGAGAUUAACCUGAGUGCUUCUUGUCAUUUAUUACAGAGGUGAACUGAAUAGAUGUAAGAAUUCUUGAGGUUUUGGUUGGCUCUAAAGAUUCAGUUACUUUGGUAGCAUCUAAGGCAUAGAAAGUACUGUAAUAGUUGUGUAACAUGCCCUAUGCAGAAUGCAUAUGAAGGGAAUAUGCAUAAAAUACUGUAAUUAUUGCCAAAUAUUUAGGCUACUCUGGAAGAGAACCCAUCAGUAUACAAAGCUGUGCUGCAAUAUGCAAGGAAUCUGAGUCAUCUUAUUCAAAAAUGGGAAAUGCUAUUGGAAUAUGUAAAUCAGGGCGCUCCAAUUCUGUUCCUGGAGAGCUACUGUUGUGUAUGUUUUUGCUCCAACUCUAAUCUAGCACACCUGAUUCUAAUAAUUAGCUGGUUGAUAAGCUGAAUCAACUGGGGUUGGUUUUAAAACAGGUUGGAGAGCCCUGAUGUAAAUUAAUGUGAUAUACUUAAUUGGGAAAUGUUGCCAAUUGUUCAUACACCAGAACAAAUAUUUAGCAAUACUUUUCAUUUAACUUCUCAGUUAUAAGUCAACUUCUGUAUAUUUAAUAUAUUGAUUACUUAAAAAUGUUUUGUCACCAAAAUGCAACAUUUUUGUGAUAUGUUUGAAUUUUUUUUUCUAAUUAUUUCCCCACUUAGUCACAUAAUCAAUUUCAUAUUUCGAUAUCAAUAUAUUUUCAUGCUGGAAACAAGGGAAUGUUUAACUGUUGUUAAUUUCAUAAUAUGUUUGUUUUAGACUUAAAAUUCAAAUAUGUUUUCAAACCUGCUACUGAUGUACAUGUACAUUUUCUUUUAGUUGUCAGAGAAAUUGAAAAAAAUGUUCUUUGACAAAAUGAUAGUAAUUUAUCAUCGAAAGUGAAAGUAAUACUGCAAUGGGCAGCUAUUUAGCUAUCCCCUACUCUGAAACUGUUUAAAAAUAUAUACUGUAGAAAAACAAUAUCCUGUAUUGUAUACAUUUUUUUUUUCCUGUGCAAACAAUUGAACAUAUUCAACAUGUUUUUAAGUUUAUCAGUGAGAAUACGUUUCUUCAUAUGUAUUCAUUUGACACUUGUUUAAAUGAAACAGCAACCCCUCAUAUGCAGCCAAAACACUGUCGCAAAUACCCGUAAUGUACUUGAACCUUCAUAAAUCCAUACCACAGUACAACAUUCCUCAUGCUGUGGUGUCAGAAAAAAAGGAGUAACUAUGGAUGUGUUAUGACACACUCAUUGGCAACAAGUAGCACAGAACUGUCUCAGUAGCGUUCCUCUGGGGAAUAUGAUUGACAACUCUCACAAAGAGAUAUUGUUGUGGAAUUGUGUUCGUGGUUUGACAAUAAGGUCUAACAAGUUGUACAAAUUGAUGUAUUGAUUUUAAACAACAUUGCACAUAUUUUUCUCAAUGCAGCCAGUCACAGCUUUUAUUCCCUGUAGAUUGUACGGCCACAACAUACAUUUACCAAUAAAAUGCCCACAGUGCCACUGUCAAAGCCAAUCACAUCAAUGACCUCAACGAGCCAAGAUUCUAGUUUAAGAAAUUUGUCGUGAUUGAGUAAGUGAUCCACAGCUGACAGCAAUUAUUUUGAUUAGGUGCAUUAGCUCAUAAAAAGUCCAGGUGGUCUGAGUGCUGGCAUAUUGUCAGAAAGAUGUUGUUUAUCCACAGUGUGCUGUUCUUGAUGCUUGUGGCCACAGCUGUGGCCCAAACAGGAGUUCCACGAAUAAGAUACAGGGUAGACCAGUGGACCAUCUCUGUGGAGACUCCACAGAGUUAUGACUCAGAUGAGCUUCAGCCCUAUGACUCAGAUGAGCUUCAGCCCUAUGACUCAGAUGAGCUUCAGCCCUAUGACUCAGAUGAGCUUCAGACUUAUGCCUCAGAUGAGCUUCAGCCCUAUGAGUCGGAUGAGAUCCAACCCAUUGGAUCAGACAAGUCUCUUGGUGCCGAUGAACAAGGUGCGCUGAUUGAGUCUCCAGUCUGGGUUCUGUUUCUGGUGGUCCCUAUGGUGUUAUUGACUGCUAUGGGAGCUCUGGCUGUGGGUUACUACCUGUGUGUGUGGAGGGGAGGCAGACUAGGCUACCGGCCCCGCAGAGACCUCUUGACAAACGUUUAACCAAUUUGCUUUCUGUUUGGUUUGAAAAUAAAUGUUAGUUCCCUGA
This is a non-coding RNA of Oncorhynchus mykiss (rainbow trout), 3388 nucleotides long. NCBI's taxonomy places the organism in Eukaryota, Metazoa, Chordata, Actinopteri, Salmoniformes, Salmonidae. The record is from RefSeq and is a predicted model, not a curated record.